GGAUGACGUCAAGUCAGCAUGCCCCUUACGUCCUGGGCUACACACGUACUACAAUGGUAGGGACAGAGGGCAGCCAACCCGCGAGGUGGAGCAAAUCCCUAAAAGCCAUCCCAGUUCGGAUUGCAGGCUGAAACCCGCCUGUAUGAAGUUGGAAUCGCUAGUAAUCGCGGACCAGCAUGCCGCGGUGAAUACGUUCCCGGGCCUUGUACACACCGCCCGUCACACCAUGAGAGUCGGGAACACCCGAAGUCCGUAGCCUAACCGCAAGGAGGGCGCGGCCGAAGGUGGGUUCGAUAAUUGGGGUGAAGUCGUAACAAGGUAGCCGUAUCGGAAGGUGCGGCUGGAUCACCUGUCGACGCGGCCG
RNAcentral lists this ribosomal RNA (364 nucleotides) under uncultured Flavonifractor sp. RNAcentral describes it as "bacterial SSU rRNA". It matches the Rfam family "Bacterial small subunit ribosomal RNA", at positions 1177 to 1533 of the family's 1533-position model. The record is from RNAcentral. Lineage: Bacteria; Bacillati; Bacillota; Clostridia; Eubacteriales; Oscillospiraceae.